This 829-nucleotide ribosomal RNA is filed under the name uncultured archaeon. Its description in RNAcentral is "bacterial SSU rRNA". It matches the Rfam family "Archaeal small subunit ribosomal RNA", at positions 21 to 855 of the family's 1478-position model. The record is from RNAcentral.
GAUUGCUGCUAUUAGGGUUCGAUUAAGCCAUGCAAGUCAGGGAUUCUUCGGAGUCCCGGCAAAAUGCUCAGUAACACGUUGAUAAUCUGCCCAUAGGUAAGGAAUAACCUCGGAAAACUGAGGACAAUACCUUAUAGGAGAAUAUAUCUGGAAAGGUUUUUCUCUUAAAGCUUCGGUGCCUAUGGAUGAGUUAGCGGCGGAUUAGGUUGUUGGCGGGGUAACGGCCCACCAAGCCGAAGAUCCGUACGGGCCUUGAGAGAGGUAGCCCGGAGAGGGACACUGAGAAACUGGUCCCAGCCCUACGGGGUGCAGCAGGCGCGAAACCUUUACAAUGCACGAAAGUGUGAUAAGGGAACCCUAAGUGCUUAUCUUAUGAUAGGCUUUUGUUAAGAGUAAAUAUCUUGGCGAAUAAGUGGUGGGAAAGACUGGUGCCAGCCGCCGCGGUAACACCAGCGCCACGAGUGGGGAUCAUGUUUAUUGGGCCUAAAGCGUCCGUAGCCGGUUUAUUAAAUCUUUUGUGAAAUCAUUAAGCUUAACUUAAUGGCGUGCAGAAGACACUGGUGAACUUGGAACCGGGAGGAGUCAGAAGAAUGGGAUGGGGAGCGGUAAAAUGUGAUAAUCCAUCCUAGACUACCUGUGGCGAAGGCGUCUGACUAGAACGGGUUCGACGGUGAGGGACGAAAGCUAGGGGAGCGAUCCGGAUUAGAUACCCGAGUAGUCCUAGCUGUAAACGCUGCGAGCUAGGUGUUGCAUAUUCCACGUGAAUAUGCAGUGUCGAAGUGAAGACGAUAAGCUCGCCGCCUGGGAAGUACGGUCGCAAGACUGAAAC